This 252-nucleotide ribosomal RNA is filed under the name uncultured bacterium. Its description in RNAcentral is "partial 16S ribosomal RNA". It matches the Rfam family "Bacterial small subunit ribosomal RNA", at positions 525 to 776 of the family's 1533-position model. The record is from RNAcentral.
ACGGAGGGUGCAAGCGUUGUCCGGAUUUAUUGGGUUUAAAGGGUGCGUAGGCGGAUAAUUAAGUCAGUGGUGAAAUACUCCGGCUCAACCGGAGAGGUGCCAUUGAUACUGGUUAUCUUGAGUACAGACGAGGUAGGCGGAAUUUAUGGUGUAGCGGUGAAAUGCAUAGAUACCAUAAAGAACACCGAUAGCGAAGGCAGCUUACUGGACUGUAACUGACGCUGAGGCACGAAAGCGUGGGUAGCGAACAGG